GAACCCUUCUCCAUAAUCACAAUCACAACAAGCAUAACAAAAUUAGCAAAUUAGUUUUAUAUAUUCUAUGCUGAAAAUUAUACAAUUUUUAUCUUGAAAUACAAAAGUUGUAUAAUUUUGUUAUAUAUUUUUUAUAUAGAAUUUCAUUUUACGGUAGUUGAUUAAAUAUGUAGGCAAAAUAAAGAGGGGAAUGUACCUUAAAAUGUUUUGGGAGACAAUUUUGACAAUAUAAAGCAAAAUACCUCAUGUGAUGCUAUAAUUAAGAUGUUUUAUUUCUUUUUAAGACGUUAGUCUAUUACAACGGUUAGCUUUCAAGCUAAUUUCAAGUGCAAGAAAUAGAAAAAUAAGAUAUCAUAUGAAUUGUAGGACUUGUUAUUAUUGAAUAAAUAUAGUGUGUUAUUUAUACAUAGUUCAUUCCUAUUCAUUUUAACUAUCUUAUAAUUAACUAACUAACUAAUUAAGUGAUUAAUUAGUUAGUUAGUUAUCACAUACAACUAAUGCUAUUCUUGAAUUACACAAACUUUUAAUAUCAA
RNAcentral lists this long non-coding RNA (533 nucleotides) under Cicer arietinum (chickpea). Its description in RNAcentral is "long non-coding RNA (CARI_LNC003333)". The record is from RNAcentral. Lineage: Eukaryota; Viridiplantae; Streptophyta; Magnoliopsida; Fabales; Fabaceae.